AGGCUUUUGGUUUUCUAAACUCCCACCCAUGUGAACUUACCUUUUGUUGCCUCGGCAGAAGUUAUAGGUCUUCUUAUAGCUGCUGCCGGUGGACCAUUAAACUCUUGUUAUUUUAUGUAAUCUGAGCGUCUUAUUUUAAUAAGUCAAAACUUUCAACAACGGAUCUCUUGGUUCUGGCAUCGAUGAAGAACGCAGCGAAAUGCGAUAAGUAAUGUGAAUUGCAGAAUUCAGUGAAUCAUCGAAUCUUUGAACGCACAUUGCGCCCAUUAGUAUUCUAGUGGGCAUGCCUGUUCGAGCGUCAUUUCAACCCUUAAGCCUAGCUUAGUGUUGGGAAUCUACUUCUCUUAGGAGUUGUAGUUCCUGAAAUACAACGGCGGAUUUGUAGUAUCCUCUGAGCGUAGUAAUUUUUUUCUCGCUUUUGUUAGGUGCUAUAACUCCCAGCCGCUAAACCCCCAAUUUUUUGUGGUUGACCUCGGAUCAGGUAGGAAUACCCGCUGAACUUAAGCAUAUCAAUAAGCGGAGGAA
This 525-nucleotide ribosomal RNA is filed under the name Pestalotiopsis sp. DBT173/2013d. RNAcentral describes it as "eukaryotic LSU rRNA". The stretch from base 148 to 301 matches the Rfam family "5.8S ribosomal RNA". Lineage: Eukaryota; Fungi; Ascomycota; Sordariomycetes; Amphisphaeriales; Sporocadaceae. The record is from RNAcentral.